CCAUAAGGAAUGUUUAUCGAAAUCAUGAUGCACUUAUUUUCUCAAAACAAUGCAAUUUGUUCUAGUUUUUAGUAGAACCCCUCAUGUAAACCCCUCAUGAGUAAAUCACUUAAAAAAUCCAUACUUAACUAUGGUACCAAAGAAUUGAAAAAUAUAGCAAAACCCACAAGUUAGCCAAAAUGGACAGAAAGUUUCUCGCUGCAGCGAACUUCAUUCUCGUUGUAACGAGAACCAAGUCUGGUGAAGGCCCUCAAACCCGAGAGUUUCUCGCUACAGCGAGAGUCAAAACAUCAAGAAAAAAGUCUCAUUUUCCUUUAAAACAAACCAUCCUGCUAAAAUAACAAUAGCAACAUGUAACACAUGUAAACUCCUAAAUUUCAACAAAUCAAAUGCUCACAUAUUUGUAUUUACAACCAUAUACCAUAUUGUAUAUAUAUAUAUAUCCAUCAUCAUAUACACCCUCCCAUCAUCAUCAUCUCAUAUGCAACAGCUUAUGCGUACUCCCACUCGCAUAUAGCCGGGUCAACAAUGGCUUAUGUGCACUCCUACUCGCACAUAGUCAGGUCAGCAACGGCUUAUGUGCACUCCUACUAGCACAUAGCUGGGUUAGCAAUGGCUUAUGUGCAUUCCCACUCGCACAUAGCCGGGUCAGCAACGGCUUAUGUGCACUCCCACUGGCACAUAGUCGGGUCAGCAACGACUUAUGUGCACUCCUACUCGCACAUAGCCAGGUCCACAUCAACAUGCAAAGAAGCAUCCAAUGUGUAUCAUGCAUUUUAUCAUAUUGUGAUAACACAUAAACCAUUGUAUAGCACAUUUUCACAAUAUAAAAUCAUUUUACUAAAAGCUUGUUCCCAAGGUAUAUUUUCUAAGACAAGUUGGAUAGAAUCUUUCAUAUUCCCUAAAACAAGUUUGAAAUGCAAGUCCAUUCACCAGUAUUCGUUGAGCCUUUAGCCGACUUUUAAUCCCCCUAAUGAUCUAAUUGGGGUGAUGGGGCUUUGUUAGCACCUACCAUCAAAUUAACAUUUCCAUAAUGUCAAUUUACAUACUAUAAACCCUAAAAGCUAUCUUUUAGCUAGUUGUCAAUUACCAUUUAAAUGGCCAUCCAUUUUCACUUUCUUAUCACUCCAAAGUCAAUUAACAAUCUCAACUUCAAAAUAUUCACAAAUCAAAUCUCUAGUCAUUCUCAAUACUUAAAACCCAAUACUAGUUUACUACUCACCUUGAUAGCUUUGUAACUUUGAACUUCUUUCCAAAAGCUCUCAAGCUAUUAAUAAAGCUUCCUCUUUCUCUCUUUAAAACACCUAACUAGUGAGAGAUUAUGGAAACAAGAAUUUCAUCAUUUUCAAGGGUUUUAAAGUGAGAGAGUGGAAGAAUACAAGGGUUCUAGUCAAAAGGGCACCAAGGUAUGAAAAUUAGAACUAGAGAGAGAAAGUUAUGAAAGCUUCACAUCAAGCUUCCAUGGAGGAAUUGAAGAAACGUGAGAGGGAAGAGAACAAGAAGAAGAAGCUGUUAGAAAUCCCAAAAAGUUGCUAGAAGGAGAGGAUAUUUAUGGCCGAAGCUUAUCCACUCCCUUGGAAAUUACUAAAAUGCCCCUCCACAAAUUAACUUAAUCCUUGAAAUCCCACACUUUUUCUUCAAUUUUCC
RNAcentral lists this long non-coding RNA (1647 nucleotides) under Theobroma cacao (cacao). RNAcentral's name for it is "long non-coding RNA (TCAC_LNC001222)". Lineage: Eukaryota; Viridiplantae; Streptophyta; Magnoliopsida; Malvales; Malvaceae. The record is from RNAcentral.